AACGAUAUCCAAACUAAACUCAUUAACAAUCAUACACCAAAACUGAAUUCAAGCAUUCGACACUAGAUUACUAAACAAAAUAGCCCUUAAACUCGACGUUUGGUCACUUACCUAAAAAAUUAGCAAUCCUUCAACACCUAAUUCUCCGGAGGAUGGUUGAGCGUCUCGCGAACCUCACCUAACCUAAUCAAAAUCAACAUGAUGAAUCCAUCAAACCUCCAC
Molecule: long non-coding RNA, 222 nt
Filed under: Gossypium barbadense (sea-island cotton)
Lineage: Eukaryota; Viridiplantae; Streptophyta; Magnoliopsida; Malvales; Malvaceae
Description: long non-coding RNA (GBAR_LNC008214)
Source: RNAcentral